Molecule: ribosomal RNA, 142 nt
Filed under: uncultured eukaryote
Lineage: Eukaryota
Description: partial 18S ribosomal RNA
Rfam family: Eukaryotic small subunit ribosomal RNA
Source: RNAcentral
UGGUGGAGCGAUUUGUCUGGUUAAUUCCGAUAACGAACGAGACUCUAGCCUGCUAAAUAGCCAACUGAUCCGCAGCGUCAGUUGCUAAAAAGCUUCUUAGAGGGACAGGCGGCGUUUAGUCGCACGAGAUUGAGCAAUAACA